RNAcentral lists this ribosomal RNA (330 nucleotides) under uncultured bacterium. RNAcentral's name for it is "bacterial SSU rRNA". It matches the Rfam family "Bacterial small subunit ribosomal RNA", at positions 568 to 898 of the family's 1533-position model. The record is from RNAcentral.
CGUGUAGGCGGCUCAUCAAGUCUGGUGUGAAAUCGCAGGGCUUAACCCUGCAUAUGCGCUGGAAACUGGUGGGCUUGAGUUCUUGAGGGGAAGCUGGAAUUCCAGGUGUAGGGGUGAAAUCUGUAGAUAUCUGGAAGAACAUCGGUGGCGAAGGCGAGCUUCUAUCAGAGGACUGACGCUGAGGCGCGAAAGCGUGGGGAGCAAACAGGAUUAGAUACCCUGGUAGUCCACGCUGUAAACGAUGUGCACUAGGCGUGGGGCACGUACGUGCUCUGUGCCGUAGUUAACGUGUUAAGUGCGCCGCCUGGGGAGUAUGCUCGCAAGGGUGAA